Ornithodoros turicata is the source of this 995-nucleotide long non-coding RNA. RefSeq lists it as uncharacterized. The transcript is spliced from 3 exons. The record is from RefSeq and is a predicted model, not a curated record. NCBI's taxonomy places the organism in Eukaryota, Metazoa, Arthropoda, Arachnida, Ixodida, Argasidae.
GACACCCUUCCGUGACCGUACUUAAUGCGGGGUGUUGCGUGCACUCCCGUCAUGAAGGGGUGUUAGCCUCACUCCCCAGUGUUUAUAACGAGGUUCUCCCAGACGGCGCAACAGUGCAGCCUCGUACUUUUAUGCAUUUGUUAAGAUGAUCGAGACACAUCUGCAAAUAAUGGGAAAAGAUAUGAACAAGCCUGUGUCUGACAUGCCCAAAGUAGUUGUAUCCCUUUAGAGGACAUUUACUUUUCGCAAGUCCUGGCUGUACCAAGAAAAGCCGUUGGCGACAGAUAUCCUUUGAAGGAUUCGAGUAGUCAUCAUCAGCAUCCCUCAGUAGCCGUCAUUGGGAUGCUGCCUGUACCAACUCACCAUCUCACGAAAGAAAAGGAACAGCCGCAACAGACGCUUCAGUAUUCCUUCUCCUUCUCUUCCCGACUGCGCAGAGACUCCUACAGAAAUCAAUACAGCCACUUGCCGGGAAGCGUGAAAAAUACCCGCCAGCAGACUUCCGAAUAAAGCUGGUCUCAGCCGGGAGAAGAGGAUCCCAGACGCUCAAGUCAAACAUAGUUGUACGCUUGAGGACGAUGUUUGCUCGAGCGAACGACGGCAAUCUACACUACUGACCAUCUGUACUGCGCCCUCUUAAUCCCAUAUUGGAGGUUCUACACUGAUGUGUUCUGAGACCGCUGAAACUAUACUAGUGCGAAAAAAGUGACUGCGUCUUUAUGGGAGCUUUACGGGGCCAUCAUUAACCGUCAGUUUUUGGCGAAAUUCUUUUCUGGCGAUCACGUGGUUCGUGGCCCUAUACAAACAACUAUAUUUUGACGAUGAGGUGGGGAGGUUUUCCACUCUAGGAGUGGAACGCUAGGGGGUCUAAUGUAUACGGUGUGAUGACGAUGAUGGCCCGAUACAAAGCUGCAGACGGACCUACACGGUCUUUAAUUAAAGGACAGUCACGGCUAACAUUUAGCGCAGUGUGACUACGCACAAUCUUAUUUCAU